Molecule: long non-coding RNA, 846 nt
Organism: Bactrocera neohumeralis
Lineage: Eukaryota; Metazoa; Arthropoda; Insecta; Diptera; Tephritidae
Exons: 4
Source: RefSeq, a predicted model, not a curated record
CUUUUCAUCAUUCGUCAUCACUAAAGCUGUCAUCUUUUAUGUCAUAUAUCUGUGAUUUUUUAAUGCUAAUUUUGGAAGCGAUCUGGUCACAUAGGCAGAGUCAGGGGCUGUUUAUCACACCGUUCUUGUACGACAAAUGCAAUUAAAAGUGAGUCGAAAAUGCAAUAAGUCAAGCAAAGUUUUGCACGCCACUCGACACUUGGCGCACGACGGCAAAAUAUGUACCCAAAGCACACCAGACACACUUCGAAGUCUUGCAAGAAGCAAAAGGUGAUUAUGAGUAGCAAAGCAGCGGAAGCAGGUUCGAAGCAGAAGCUGACUAAUUUGGCAAAAAACUACUUCAUUAACGGUACAACUGACUAUAACGGCAUGAAGUACACUGAAGAAGUGUUUUAAGUUGAUUUAUGUGACUAUGCGUAUGUAUUGGUGCAACCGAACGGUAUGAGUGCAGCGAGGAAGUGUCUAUGGCUGCCGAGAGAGGAAAGCAUGUGACGCCGAAUUUGGGCCACUCGAUCGCCUUUGACUCACUUAACCUUUUUAUGAACACUAUUUGGCUAAAUGCGAAAUCAAUUAUGAAAGCGGAAGUAAUUAAUGGAGAAAUCGAUGAAGCUUACAACAACAACGCCCAGCAAUCAUAUAUAAUUUAACAUCGAACAAUAUUAAUGCAUAUUAGCUAGAACCUUCACAUAUAUUUUACAAAAUUUCAUCCGAACUAACGAAAAUGGACAAUUUUUGAGCUCAAACUGAAAAGAAAGCUAUUUUAUUUAAGAAAAAUUGCAAAUCCACUUCAAACAAUGUUUGUCCAUAAGACUAUUCAAGUAAAACACAUAAAUAAUAAACACGAUG